UACGGAGGAUGCAAGCGUUAUCCGGAAUGAUUGGGCGUAAAGCGUCCGCAGGUGGCUGUGUAAGUCUGCUGUCAAAGAGCGAAGCUCAACUUCGUAAAGGCAGUGGAAAACUACACGGCUAGAGUGCGUUCGGGGCAGAGGGGAAUUCCUGGUGUAGCGGUGAAAUGCGUAGAGAUCAGGAAGAACACCGGUGGCGAAGGCGCUCUGCUAGGCCGCAACUGACACUGAGGGGACGAAAGCUAGGGGAGCGAAUGGG
Molecule: ribosomal RNA, 256 nt
Filed under: uncultured bacterium
Lineage: Bacteria
Description: partial 16S ribosomal RNA
Rfam family: Bacterial small subunit ribosomal RNA
Source: RNAcentral